GAACGCACAUUGCGCCCCUUGGUAUUCCACUGGGCAUGCCUGUUCGAGCGUCAUCUACACCCUCGAGCUGUGCUUGGUGUUGGGCGUCUGUCCUCGUUCCCCGCGGACUCGCCUCAAAUGCAUUGGCGGCGGCUCUACCGGCUUCUUGCGCAGCACUUUUGCGCGUGGAAGACCGGUGGGCUCGCACCCAUCAAGGACCUCUCCAUUUGACCUCGAAUCAGGUAGGGAUACCCGCUGAACUUAAG
Molecule: unclassified non-coding RNA, 245 nt
Filed under: uncultured fungus
Lineage: Eukaryota; Fungi
Description: sequence contains 5.8S rRNA gene
Source: RNAcentral